GAACGCUGGCGGCGUGCUUAACACAUGCAAGUCGAACGGAAAGGCCCUGCUUUUGUGGGGUGCUCGAGUGGCGAACGGGUGAGUAACACGUGAGUAACCUGCCCUUGACUUUGGGAUAACUUCAGGAAACUGGGGCUAAUACCGGAUAGGAGCUCCUGCUGCAUGGUGGGGGUUGGAAAGUUUCGGCGGUUGGGGAUGGACUCGGGGCUUAUCAGCUUGUUGGUGGGGUAGUGGCUUACCAAGGCUUUGACGGAUAGCCGGCCUGAGAGGGUGACCGGCCACAUUGGGACUGAGGUACGGCCCAGACUCGAACAGGAGGCAGCAGUGGGGAAUAUUGCACAGUGAGCGGAAGCGUGAUGAAGAGACGCCGCGUGCGGAAAGACGGCAUUCGGGUUAUAAAACGCAGAAGCCUGUGACGAAGCGUGAGUGACGGUAAUGGGUAAAGAAGCACCGGCUAACUACGUG
Molecule: ribosomal RNA, 465 nt
Filed under: uncultured bacterium
Lineage: Bacteria
Description: partial 16S ribosomal RNA
Rfam family: Bacterial small subunit ribosomal RNA
Source: RNAcentral